ACCUGGUCUGAAGGUAGUGAGCUAUCUCACUGGAUUGUUCAAUCGGUCACAGAUUGAACUCCUUGCUCUACUACUUUUCCCCCUUCUCACUACUGCACUUGACUAGUCUUAA
Molecule: Y RNA, 112 nt
Filed under: Propithecus coquereli (Coquerel's sifaka)
Lineage: Eukaryota; Metazoa; Chordata; Mammalia; Primates; Indriidae
Description: Y RNA (ENSPCOG00000000670.1)
Rfam family: Y RNA
About the family: Y RNAs are components of the Ro ribonucleoprotein particle (Ro RNP), in association with Ro60 and La proteins. The Y RNAs and Ro60 and La proteins are well conserved, but the function of the Ro RNP is not known. In humans the RNA component can be one of four small RNAs -- hY1, hY3, hY4 and hY5.
Source: Rfam by way of RNAcentral